This 465-nucleotide ribosomal RNA is filed under the name uncultured bacterium. RNAcentral's name for it is "partial 16S ribosomal RNA". It matches the Rfam family "Bacterial small subunit ribosomal RNA", at positions 338 to 795 of the family's 1533-position model. The record is from RNAcentral.
CCUACGGGCGGCAGCAGUAGGGAAUCUUCCACAAUGGGCGAAAGCCUGAUGGAGCAACGCCGCGUGGGUGAAGAAGGUCUUCGGAUCGUAAAACCCUGUUGUUCGAGAAGCAAGUGCGUGAGAGUAACUGUUCACGUUUCGACGGUAUCUAACCAGAAAGCCACGGCUAACUACGUGCCAGCAGCCGCGGUAAUACGUAGGUGGCAAGCGUUAUCCGGAUUUAUUGGGCGUAAAGGGAACGCAGGCGGUCUUUUAAGUCUGAUGUGAAAGCCUUCGGCUUAACCGGAGUAGUGCAUUGGAAACUGGGGGACUGGAGUGCAGAAGAGGAGAGUGGAACUCCAUGUGUAGCGGUGAAAUGCGUAGAUAUAUGGAAGAACACCAGUGGCGAAAGCGGCUCUCUGGUCUGUAACUGACGCUGAGGUUCGAAAGCGUGGGUAGCAAACAGGAUUAGAUACCCGAGUAGUC